RNAcentral lists this ribosomal RNA (253 nucleotides) under uncultured bacterium. Its description in RNAcentral is "partial 16S ribosomal RNA". It matches the Rfam family "Bacterial small subunit ribosomal RNA", at positions 524 to 776 of the family's 1533-position model. The record is from RNAcentral.
UACGGGGGGGGCAAGCGUUGUUCGGAAUUACUGGGCGUAAAGGGCUCGUAGGCGGCCAACUAAGUCGGACGUGAAAUCCCUCAGCUUAACCGGGGAACUGCGUCCGAUACUGGAUGGCUUGAGUUUGGGAGAGGGAUGCGGAAUUCCAGGUGUAGCGGUGAAAUGCGUAGAUAUCUGGAGGAACACCGGUGGCGAAGGCGGCAUCCUGGACCAACACUGACGCUGAGGAGCGAAAGCCAGGGGAGCAAACGGG